Long non-coding RNA from Suricata suricatta (meerkat), 820 nucleotides. RefSeq lists it as uncharacterized. The record is from RefSeq and is a predicted model, not a curated record. Lineage: Eukaryota; Metazoa; Chordata; Mammalia; Carnivora; Herpestidae. The transcript is spliced from 4 exons.
GAACUAGAUCUUCCGGACACGCGGGAUGAGGGGCUAGCUUACAACAGAAAACAAACCACAGAGAAAGUUGGAAACUUAUCUGUACAAGGAAUCAUCAAGGAGCACUCUCCAAACAUCUCUGAGAGAACAGACCGUAUUUCGAGCCUCAUGAACUUUCUGGAAGACUGAAGGACCACUAAUAUUUACAUGACUGAAGUUGACAUCGAAUGUGGAGACUGUAUCGGGUAUCAUUGAAAGCAGUCAGAAGGUCAGACGGAUUUGGAUUCAAACCUCAUUUCCAGCACGAGACAAUGUAGACGUCUGCCUCUCGGUGACAGCAAAACACGACAUGAUGAAUCGGGGGACCUGCAGGGGUUCACCUUCGGUGACUUCACACUUAUCAUCUGCUCUGACGAAAACACAUCUGGAACAGCUGAAAAGAGUUGAGCCCGGAAAAGAAUGGCACCAAAAUAAAGUAUUUCUCUUAAAAUACGCUCCAAUACAAAGGUUCUAACAAGGAUGCACAGAUGUGUUGCAUUCAACUCUAUUAUGAAAACAGCAUACGUCUCUAUUACAACGGACCCUUCACGGUCAGAGCAGAGAUGUGGCCGCGGGAAAUGUGGAUGCGAGCGUCAGUUCUGUCCUGCCGGACCCCUCCGAGGUGGGGAGGCUCUGCAGGCUGGAAAGAGACUUCCCGUUUGGAAGAUGAACAGUCGUGGGCGCCUGGGUGGCUCAGUCGGGUGAGUGUCCGACCUCAACGCAGGGCCUGACCUCACAGUUCUUGGGUUCGAGCCCCGCGUCGGGCUCUGUGCAGAUCCUGCAGCUGCUUCGGAGUCUGUGU